UACCUGCUCUAAUAGUCUAUAAUAAAAUUGUUGUGGUUAAAACGCUCGUAGUCAAUUCAAGAGUCUAGUAUUGGUAGUCGGCUAUGUCUUUCCAGUUUAUGAAUCGUUUUAAUGAAUCGUAGGCUGGCCUCCUAAUGGGAGGAUCAUUUGAUAAAGAUUUUAGUCUCAGCAUGAUCUCUCAUCAUCCUCUUAGAUUCCAAAAUAUAAGGGGCCAUGAUGGGACUCACCAUGUGGCUAUAGUAUUAGAUUCAAUACUUACCUGUGACCAAAUUAAUUCGCUUAAGGAAAGAUUUGUUAACCACUAAUCCAUUCGGUUUAGUGAUUUGUGAUGUAAUAUAAUAGAGCAUAGUACCUCUAUACUAGGAAGUUUAUCUCCCUAGAUUAGAUAAUGGGACCAGCUUCAAGUUCUCAGUAUUUGUUGAUCAGGGGUGAAAUCCGUAUAGUCAACAACGACUACCGGAUGCGAAAGCGGAGGACUAGAACUGGUCCGUUGAUCAGGAGCUAGAGUCAAGGGAGCAAAGAUGAUUAGAUACCGUCGUAGUCUUGACUAUAAACUAUACAAAUAAGAGCUUGUGAGAAGCCCUGUUAUUAGAUUCGUGCAGGAUCCCCGAGAAAUCAUAAAUGUUUGUGUUCCAGGGGAAGUAUAUUCGCAAGAAUGAAACUUAAAGGAAUUGACGGAAAUUCACCACCAGGAGUGGAGUNUGCGGCUUAAUUCGACUCAACGCGUGAAAACUUACCAAAUCCGAAUUACAUAAAGAUUGACAGGUUAAUGACUUUUCUUGAUUUGUAAAAGAGUGGUGCAUGGUCGUUCUCAGUUCGUGGAUUAAUCUGUCUACUUAAUUGUGUUAACGAGCGAGACCUUAAUUAGCUAAUUAGUAACACGCAAUUUUAACUUGCUUGAAAUCGAAAGUGAAAACUGCUAUUAAAGUAGCAGUUUCUUCUUAGCAAAACCUCGUUCGACUUACAACAGAGCCAGGAAGUAAGGCUAUAACAGAUCUGUUAUGCCCUCAGAUGUUUUGGGCAGCACGCGUACUACAAUGAUAGUUUUAGCAAGUUUCAGCGUUGAAGUCAAAUUUAACACUCCUAGUUUUAAAGGAUGCGGAAAACUCCAAACACUUAACAAAUCAGGAAUUAAGGAUUGUAAAUUCCUUAUGAACAAGGAAUUCCUAGUAAUAGUAAAUCAUCAUUUUCCAAUGACUACGUCCCUGAAUUU
Molecule: ribosomal RNA, 1213 nt
Filed under: uncultured eukaryote
Lineage: Eukaryota
Description: SSU rRNA
Rfam family: Eukaryotic small subunit ribosomal RNA
Source: RNAcentral